GCACCGGUAGUGUAGCGGUUAUCACCGGGCGUUGCCAACGCUCGAACUCGGGUUCGAUUCCCGACCGGCGCA
Molecule: transfer RNA, 72 nt
Filed under: Methanobacteriota archaeon
Lineage: Archaea; Methanobacteriati; Methanobacteriota
Also listed under: 1 other name
Description: Euryarchaeota archaeon tRNA-Gly
Rfam family: tRNA
About the family: Transfer RNA (tRNA) molecules are approximately 80 nucleotides in length. Their secondary structure includes four short double-helical elements and three loops (D, anti-codon, and T loops). Further hydrogen bonds mediate the characteristic L-shaped molecular structure. tRNAs have two regions of fundamental functional importance: the anti-codon, which is responsible for specific mRNA codon recognition, and the 3' end, to which the tRNAs corresponding amino acid is attached (by aminoacyl-tRNA synthetases). tRNAs cope with the degeneracy of the genetic code in two manners: having more than one tRNA (with a specific anti-codon) for a particular amino acid; and 'wobble' base-pairing, i.e. permitting non-standard base-pairing at the 3rd anti-codon position.
Source: RNAcentral